GGAUGUGAGGGUGAUCUGGCUGCAACAUCUGUCACCCCAUUGAUCACCAGGAUUGAUUCAGCUGAUUGGCAGGCUAGGCAGAUGUCCCCUUCCCUCUUUACCACUCCAUGUGUGACUCUCCUGAAGUGCCCACUGGGUUGGAAGAGGAUGACCUUCCUGGAUAGAGGAAGACCAUUCUUUGGUCAAGGGUAUAUGAGUAGCUGUGCUCCCCAGAUAAACUCUCAAGGUCCAUUUGUAGGAGAAUGUAGGGUAGUCAAGCUUACAAGAAGAAGAAGAAGAAGAAGAAGAAGAAGAAGAAGAAGAAGAAUAGAAAAUGACAAUUUAUAUCCAUGGUCUUCCUUC
Molecule: small nuclear RNA, 342 nt
Filed under: Panthera pardus (leopard)
Lineage: Eukaryota; Metazoa; Chordata; Mammalia; Carnivora; Felidae
Description: 7SK RNA (ENSPPRG00000015320.1)
Rfam family: 7SK RNA (bases 1-274)
About the family: 7SK was discovered as an abundant small nuclear RNA in the mid-70s but a possible function has only recently been suggested. Two independent studies have found that 7SK RNA binds the CDK9/cyclin T complex (known as elongation factor P-TEFb).
Source: RNAcentral